This 250-nucleotide ribosomal RNA is filed under the name uncultured prokaryote. Its description in RNAcentral is "partial 16S ribosomal RNA". It matches the Rfam family "Bacterial small subunit ribosomal RNA", at positions 524 to 773 of the family's 1533-position model. The record is from RNAcentral.
UACGGAGGAUGCAAGCGUUAUCCGGAUUUAUUGGGUCUAAAGGGUGCGUACGCGGACUUUUAAGCGUGAGGUGAAAUGCCUUGGCUCAACCAUGGAACUGCCUCGCGAACUGGGAGUCUUGAAUGCCCCUGCCGUGGGAGGAACGUGUGGUGUAGCGGUGAAAUGCAUAGAGAUCACACAGAACACCGAUUGCGAAGGCAUCUCACGAAGGGGUGAUUGACGCUGAGGCACGAAAGCGUGGGGAUCAAAC